UUAUAGAUAACGGUGAAAAAAAAGACAAAAAGGUGAGUUUCACUAACAUGCCUCAGGAUAUAAUGCUGAGAAAGUUUUAAGCACAAAUCCAAACAAACGCUAACUUGGUACUCCCACGUAUGACAUCAUCCACAUCAGUAUAUUUCUCAUACCAGUGCAAAAAUUAUGUUAUCGCUUAGUAAUUUUGACCCAUUUAUAUACACACACAUGCGCGCACACAAAAUGAGUUGAUUUAAGUCACGGGUCAAAUGAGUUAAGCUAAAAUAUUUAACUCUAAAAGGUAACAUGUCAAACGGGCCAAAAGCCAUCCAAUAUUCCAAUAUGGAUUGAAAUGCUCAUAGAUUUCUUUAGUAACCACAAGUUAAAUUGUAACUAUAAUAGUGAAGUAUAUAAGAUAUUUUAACAAACUAAAAACUUACAAAGCUCAACUAUCAAGAAAAGGUGUCUAGGGAAUUGGGGGUCUGCUUGACCCGUUCUGCCCAGUACUAUAAAACAACCUGAAUCGACCCAUUAUCAGUUCUGCCCGACCCAACUAUUUUUCCACUCCUAAUGUCUAAAGUAGUCUUCAGCUUCUAACUAUAUCCGGUUCCGUUCAAACUCACCUCCAAUGUUAUAAAAGCAACAAUAAGCUUACAAGUAAAGAGUAAGCUUCAAGAGAUAAGAUAUUAAUAUAAAUGAAAACUGAAAAGAAAUAACCAUCAUUU
This 704-nucleotide long non-coding RNA is filed under the name Helianthus annuus (common sunflower). RNAcentral describes it as "hypothetical non coding rna". Lineage: Eukaryota; Viridiplantae; Streptophyta; Magnoliopsida; Asterales; Asteraceae. The record is from RNAcentral.